UCCCUGGUGGCUCAGAUGGUAAGGCAUCUGCCUGCAAUGCAGGAGACCCGGGUUCGAGUCUUGGGUCGGGAA
This 72-nucleotide transfer RNA is filed under the name Bos taurus (domestic cattle). It matches the Rfam family "tRNA". Rfam says of the family: Transfer RNA (tRNA) molecules are approximately 80 nucleotides in length. Their secondary structure includes four short double-helical elements and three loops (D, anti-codon, and T loops). Further hydrogen bonds mediate the characteristic L-shaped molecular structure. tRNAs have two regions of fundamental functional importance: the anti-codon, which is responsible for specific mRNA codon recognition, and the 3' end, to which the tRNAs corresponding amino acid is attached (by aminoacyl-tRNA synthetases). tRNAs cope with the degeneracy of the genetic code in two manners: having more than one tRNA (with a specific anti-codon) for a particular amino acid; and 'wobble' base-pairing, i.e. permitting non-standard base-pairing at the 3rd anti-codon position. The record is from Rfam by way of RNAcentral. Lineage: Eukaryota; Metazoa; Chordata; Mammalia; Artiodactyla; Bovidae. RNAcentral also lists the same sequence under 1 other name.